Molecule: ribosomal RNA, 492 nt
Filed under: uncultured bacterium
Lineage: Bacteria
Description: partial 16S ribosomal RNA
Rfam family: Bacterial small subunit ribosomal RNA
Source: RNAcentral
AGUGAACGCUGGCGGUAGGCCUAACACAUGCAAGUCGAACGGCAGCACAGUAAGAGCUUGCUCUUACGGUUGGCGAGUGGCGGACGGGUGAGGAAUACAUCGGAAUCUACUUUUUCGUGGGUGAUAACGUAGGGAAACUUCCGCUAAUACCGCAUACGACCUACGGGUGAAAUCAGUGGAUCUUCGGACCUUGCGCGAUUGAAUUAGCCGAUGUCGGAUUAGCUAGUUGGCGGGGUAAAGGCCCACCAAGGCGACGAUCCGUAGCUGGUCUGAGAGGAUGAUCAGACACACUGGAACUGAGACACGGUCCAGACUCCUACGGGAGGCAGCAGUGGGGAAUAUUGGACAAUGGGCGCAAGCCUGAUCCAGCCAUACCGCGUGGGUGAAGAAGGACUUCGGGUUGUAAAGCCCUGUUGUUGGGAAAGAAAAGCAGCAGGUUAAUACCCCGCUGUUCUGACGGUACCCAAAGAAUAAGCACCGGCUAACUUCGUG